RNAcentral lists this transfer RNA (79 nucleotides) under Blumeria hordei DH14. Its description in RNAcentral is "tRNA-Leu (CAG) (tRNA-Leu-CAG-2-1)". It matches the Rfam family "tRNA". Rfam says of the family: Transfer RNA (tRNA) molecules are approximately 80 nucleotides in length. Their secondary structure includes four short double-helical elements and three loops (D, anti-codon, and T loops). The record is from RNAcentral. Lineage: Eukaryota; Fungi; Ascomycota; Leotiomycetes; Helotiales; Erysiphaceae. RNAcentral also lists the same sequence under 3 other names.
GGCAACUUGGCCGAGCGGUUAUGGCGCCAGCUUCAGGUGCUGGUUCGAAAGAGCGUGGGUUCGAGUCCCACAGUUGUCA